UGGGGAAUUUUGGACAAUGGACGCAAGUCUGAUCCAGCCAUGCCGCGUGCGGGAAGAAGGCCUUCGGGUUGUAAACCGCUUUUGUCAGGGAAGAAACGAGUUUCUCUAAUACAGAGACUUAAUGACGGUACCUGAAGAAUAAGCACCGGCUAACUACGUGCCAGCAGCCGCGGUAAUACGUAGGGUGCGAGCGUUAAUCGGAAUUACUGGGCGUAAAGCGUGCGCAGGCGGUUAUAUAAGACAGAUGUGAAAUCCCCGGGCUCAACCUGGGGACUGCAUUUGUGACUGUAUAGCUAGAGUACGGCAGAGGGGGAUGGAAUUCCGCGUGUAGCAGUGAAAUGCGUAGAUAUGCGGAGGAACACCGAUGGCGAAGGCAAUCCCCUGGACCUGUACUGACGCUCAUGCACGAAAGCGUGGGGAGCAAACA
Molecule: ribosomal RNA, 427 nt
Filed under: uncultured bacterium
Lineage: Bacteria
Description: bacterial SSU rRNA
Rfam family: Bacterial small subunit ribosomal RNA
Source: RNAcentral